This 468-nucleotide ribosomal RNA is filed under the name uncultured bacterium. RNAcentral's name for it is "partial 16S ribosomal RNA". It matches the Rfam family "Bacterial small subunit ribosomal RNA", at positions 28 to 507 of the family's 1533-position model. The record is from RNAcentral.
GACGAACGCUGGCGGCGUGCUUAACACAUGCAAGUCGAACGGAAAGGCCCUGCUUUUGUGGGGUGCUCGAGUGGCGAACGGGUGAGUAACACGUGAGUAACCUGCCCUUGACUUUGGGAUAACUUCAGGAAACUGGGGCUAAUACCGGAUAGGAGCUCCUGCUGCAUGGUGGGGGUUGGAAAGUUUCGGCGGUUGGGGAUGGACUCGCGGCUUAUCAGCUUGUUGGUGGGGUAGUGGCUUACCAAGGCUUUGACGGGUAGCCGGCCUGAGAGGGUGACCGGCCACAUUGGGACUGAGAUACGGCCCAGACUCCUACGGGAGGCAGCAGUGGGGAAUAUUGCACAGUGGGCGGAAGCCUGAUGCAGCAACGCCGCGUGCGGGAUGGCGGCCUUCGGGUUGUAAACCGCUUUCGCCUGUGACGAAGCGUGAGUGACGGUAAUGGGUAAAGAAGCACCGGCUAACUACGUG